RNAcentral lists this transfer RNA (67 nucleotides) under Bolboceratex sp. BOL01. RNAcentral's name for it is "tRNA-Ser". Lineage: Eukaryota; Metazoa; Arthropoda; Insecta; Coleoptera; Geotrupidae. The record is from RNAcentral.
GAAAUAUGAGAUUCAAGGAGAAGCUUCUAACUUCAUUCUUUAGCAGUGCAAUUCUGUUAAUAUUUCU